CUGCACUUUGAGGAGCAUUCGUGUGAAAAAUUCUAUGGGAAAUUAUCUCUGACUCUUGACUCUGCAUGAUUCUAUGUAAUUGUCAGGAGAAUUAGAAACAUUGCUUCCACAUGUGCUCCUGCAGACCCAACAUCUCUGACAAAGAAGCCCAGCUUGUUUUCUCUUGAUCGUUUCCACUUCUGAGCUAUUCACACUGCAAUAUAAAUGAUUAAUAUCAAAUUAAUCCUCAAUAUGGAAAAGAGAACAUCAAAAUGUCAGGAAACGUCAUGGAGCAAGGUGUGGCAGAUAAUCUCUGGGACCCUGCAAGUAUAACAAUACUAAGGAUUUAAACUGAAGAGCACAGAGUCAUCUUCUACAAGUAGCUCACAAUGUAAUGGCCUUCCACAACAGAAUUUGCUUUAAAUUGUUUUCUUCCCUAGGGCCCUCAUUACAG
RNAcentral lists this long non-coding RNA (433 nucleotides) under Capra hircus (goat). RNAcentral describes it as "lncRNA (ENSCHIG00000007268.1)". Lineage: Eukaryota; Metazoa; Chordata; Mammalia; Artiodactyla; Bovidae. The record is from RNAcentral.